Molecule: ribosomal RNA, 632 nt
Filed under: Pantoea vagans
Lineage: Bacteria; Pseudomonadati; Pseudomonadota; Gammaproteobacteria; Enterobacterales; Erwiniaceae
Also listed under: 1 other name
Description: partial 16S ribosomal RNA
Rfam family: Bacterial small subunit ribosomal RNA
Source: RNAcentral
UUGUUCCCUUGAGGAGUGGCUUCCGGAGCUAACGCGUUAAGUCGACCGCCUGGGGAGUACGGCCGCAAGGUUAAAACUCAAAUGAAUUGACGGGGGCCCGCACAAGCGGUGGAGCAUGUGGUUUAAUUCGAUGCAACGCGAAGAACCUUACCUACUCUUGACAUCCACCGAAUUUAGCAGAGAUGCUUUAGUGCCUUCGGGAACGGUGAGACAGGUGCUGCAUGGCUGUCGUCAGCUCGUGUUGUGAAAUGUUGGGUUAAGUCCCGCAACGAGCGCAACCCUUAUCCUUUGUUGCCAGCGAUUCGGUCGGGAACUCAAAGGAGACUGCCGGUGAUAAACCGGAGGAAGGUGGGGAUGACGUCAAGUCAUCAUGGCCCUUACGAGUAGGGCUACACACGUGCUACAAUGGCGCAUACAAAGAGAAGCGACCUCGCGAGAGCAAGCGGACCUCACAAAGUGCGUCGUAGUCCGGAUCGGAGUCUGCAACUCGACUCCGUGAAGUCGGAAUCGCUAGUAAUCGUGGAUCAGAAUGCCACGGUGAAUACGUUCCCGGGCCUUGUACACACCGCCCGUCACACCAUGGGAGUGGGUUGCAAAAGAAGUAGGUAGCUUAACCUUCGGGAGGGCGCUUA